UACGUAGGGUGCAAGCGUUAAUCGGAAUUACUGGGCGUAAAGCGUGCGCAGGCGGUUGUGGAAGACCGCUGGGAAAUCCCCGGGCUUAACCUGGGAAUGGCAUUGGUGACUGCACGGCUAGAGUGUGUCAGAGGGGGGUAGAAUUCCACGUGUAGCAGUGAAAUGCGUAGAGAUGUGGAGGAAUACCGAUGGCGAAGGCAGCCCCCUGGGAUAACACUGACGCUCAUGCACGAAAGCGUGGGGAGCAAACAGG
This 253-nucleotide ribosomal RNA is filed under the name uncultured bacterium. RNAcentral describes it as "partial 16S ribosomal RNA". It matches the Rfam family "Bacterial small subunit ribosomal RNA", at positions 524 to 776 of the family's 1533-position model. The record is from RNAcentral.